This 566-nucleotide long non-coding RNA is filed under the name Homo sapiens (human). Its description in RNAcentral is "non-protein coding lnc-FOXP3-2:1". The record is from RNAcentral. Lineage: Eukaryota; Metazoa; Chordata; Mammalia; Primates; Hominidae.
GGAGAGCAGAGGACCAGCGGGAGUGUCAGUGAGCAGCAGCCCAGACAGCAGGGAGCCAGGCAUCUGGCUGUACCUGGGGUGGGAGGCGGGAUGUCCGGUGGACCCAGUCCUCAUCCCCUGGCCGGUCCCGGCCCGUCUGCUGGCAGAGCUGCAGGGCAUGGUGUUCGAGGAGCGAGGCCACCCUUCCAACAGGCUGAGGCACCUGGGUAGGGACUGGAAGCAGCAGGGGACUCGCCUGGAACUCCCGUGGCUCUGGAGGUGCUGCAGCUUGGGAGUGCGAAGGUGGGGCGGGACCCAAGGCAGUGCCAGCUGGUCCCGAAUUUGGCUCCCAAUGGCCCGGAGGAGAAUAGCUGAGUCACCUAUGGGGGAUAGGGAGGAAGUGAAUCAGAUGUCAAUGCUGCAAAUCCAAAAGGGCAUACCCUAGGAGACCAGCCUCCACUCCUGACCCCCAUCCAGAGAUACACAUCUAUCCAGCUUGCGUUCUCACGUUCAGUCAUUCAACAAACACCGAGCACCUACUAUGUACAGGUCGCUGUUCUAGACACUAGGGCUACUUCGUGGAACAA